GGGGCUGCACUGGUUUCGACGUGGGUUCGGACGCGCAGCAGGGCAUGUCGAGGUUCUGUCACCUCGUAAAGCAACAGAAAAAAACCAACUGCAAACGACGAACGUUUCGCACUCGCCGCUUAAUCAGCGGUGAGCCUUGCAACAGCAGGCCGAUGGGCUGGGCAAGGGGGUCGCAAGACCUCCCGGCUGCAAGGAUAAUUUCAUCGGCUGGCUUUGCGUCGGGCACCUUG
This 230-nucleotide transfer-messenger RNA is filed under the name Hydrogenophaga sp. Its description in RNAcentral is "partial transfer-messenger RNA". It matches the Rfam family "transfer-messenger RNA", at positions 1 to 269 of the family's 374-position model. From Rfam's summary of the family: Bacterial tmRNA, also known as 10Sa RNA or SsrA, is named for its dual tRNA and mRNA-like properties. Its role is to liberate the mRNA from a stalled ribosome. The record is from RNAcentral. Lineage: Bacteria; Pseudomonadati; Pseudomonadota; Betaproteobacteria; Burkholderiales; Comamonadaceae.